AGUGAACGCUGGCGGUAGGCCUAACACAUGCAAGUCGAACGGCAGCACAGUAAGAGCUUGCUCUUACGGGUGGCGAGUGGCGGACGGGUGAGGAAUACAUCGGAAUCUACUUUUUCGUGGGGGAUAACGUAGGGAAACUUACGCUAAUACCGCAUACGACCUACGGGUGAAAGCAGGGGAUCUUCGGACCUUGCGCGAUUGAAUGAGCCGAUGGCGGAUUAGCUAGUUGGCGGGGUAAAGGCCCACCAAGGCGACGAUCCGUAGCUGGUCUGAGAGGAUGAUCAGCCACACUGGAACUGAGACACGGUCCAGACUCCUACGGGAGGCAGCAGUGGGGAAUAUUGGGCAAUGGGCGCAAGCCUGAUCCAGCCAUACCGCGUGGGUGAAGAAGGCCUUCGGGUUGUAAAGCCCUUUUGUUGGGAAAGAAAAGCAGCAGGUUAAUACCCCGCUGUUCUGACGGUACCCAAAGAAUAAGCACCGGCUAACUUCGUG
Molecule: ribosomal RNA, 492 nt
Filed under: uncultured bacterium
Lineage: Bacteria
Description: partial 16S ribosomal RNA
Rfam family: Bacterial small subunit ribosomal RNA
Source: RNAcentral